This is a long non-coding RNA of Carassius gibelio (silver crucian carp), 1409 nucleotides long. RefSeq lists it as uncharacterized. Lineage: Eukaryota; Metazoa; Chordata; Actinopteri; Cypriniformes; Cyprinidae. The transcript is spliced from 5 exons. The record is from RefSeq and is a predicted model, not a curated record.
UGCACUCAAAAAAAUGGUUUUCCGGCACUGUUCGUUUUACACAUAUAUGUUUUGUUAAAACAACACAAAUAUAUUUAGUUUUCCGACAAAACACAAUUGUAUUGUGUUUAAUCAACUUAAAAUGUUUAAUUUUAAAUUUUACUUAAUUAUCAAUCGUUAAAGUAACGUAAAGGGUUUAAUUUCGUGAUUCAAAAAAAACCGGAAGUGACGAUUUCCAACGCAUUUGAUGACGGUGUGGAGGGGAGCAAGAGGUAUCAGUCAGGUAAGAAAAUCUAAAGUUUUUAUUGUGUUAAGUCAAAGUCUUUAAUUUCUCUUAGAGUUUCUGUUUUGAGGUGCUUUUGUUUUGCAGUCUAGUAUUGUGUAAUCGGUUUAUUGCACCGUUAAUAGAUGAUUUUGAAGCGUUGGGAGAUGUGAAAGCGCACGACUCUCUGUAAUGUAUUUACUUUAGUAUAUAUAUAUAUAUAUAUACACUAGGGCUGAAACAAUUACUCGACAUUAUCGACAACGUCGACGAUAAAAAUAAAAUUUUCAGCAAAUGUUUUUGAGUAACGUUAGUGGUUUGAUCUCGUAUCUGCCUGAUUUGAAAGCCUGCAUUAAUGCAGUUUGACCAGUGUGGCGCUGUAGCGCAAGAUUGUAAUACACUCUCCUGAUUCAAUUAAAAAGAAGAAGAUAGCACUUCAGUUUUAGGCAAACCGACCCGAUCCGAACCUUGGAUGAAUAUGUUUGUGCAGAAUUUGAGACAUCCAGAAUUACCAUAGGCCCAUUAGAAUCAACAAUCUUUGCCAAACUUGAUUCGGACUGCAAAAUUUACGAAGAUGUUUUCAUACUGAAGAAGAGACCUUGGACAAAUACUGAAACCCUCUUGGUGCCCACUACACAGGCAGGGGUGUCCAGACCUGCUCUAGGAAAGCCAGUGUUCUGUGGGGUUCAGCUCUAACACACCUGCCUGGAACUUCAGACUAAUGAAAUUGAAGUAUCCAAAUGAAGACCCUAGCAGUAUGGAGUAUAUGGAUACAGACGUUGCCAGCAGUCAGGAGGUGAUCCAGAAGACUCCUGGGAAUCUAUUUGAAGCUGCAUCAUUGAAGACAGUCCAGCAGAAGUUGGAGUUUUAAAGGAUAAAGUUCUUCAGGACCUAUAGCAGUUUACAGUCUGUAAAACCAUGUUACUGGGACUGAUUUAUGGACUGAACUUGAGCAACCCUCCUGAACUCAGGUACACAUUUGGAAUACUGAAGAAGUUAUUUCUGGAGCCACUUCCUGUUCCUGGAAUAAGGUUUGAUUGGUUGCCCAUGAAUGCCAAUUAGAAUUGUAUUUGCUAUUUUGUGUAAUUUUGUAAUGUGGUUUAAACUGUAUUUUACUGUGUGUAAUUAUUUAUUGCUUGUUUAACAAAUACACUUUGAUCAUUUGUGA